GGAUGUGAGGGCGAUCUGGCUGUGACAUUUGUCACCCCAUUGAUUGCCAGGGUUGAUUCGGCUGAUCUGGCUGGCCAGGCGGGUGUCCCCUUCGUCCCUCACAGCUCCAUGUGCGUUCCUCCCGAGUUGCAACUUGGUCGAAGAGGACGACCAUCUCUGAUAGAGGAGGACCGUUCUUCGGUCAAGGGUAUACGAGUAGCUGCGCUCCCCUGCUAGAACCUCCAAACAAGCUCUCAAGGAGUAUGGAUUCUUCUUUCUACUACUUCCUGCAGUACCUGUCUCACCUGCUUAAAAGUCUGGCAGUUAAGGACAUAGAUUUGUCUAGGAUCUAUAAACAAUUAGAAUAAGUUUGUUU
Molecule: small nuclear RNA, 355 nt
Filed under: Castor canadensis (American beaver)
Lineage: Eukaryota; Metazoa; Chordata; Mammalia; Rodentia; Castoridae
Description: 7SK RNA (ENSCCNG00000000106.1)
Rfam family: 7SK RNA (bases 1-308)
About the family: 7SK was discovered as an abundant small nuclear RNA in the mid-70s but a possible function has only recently been suggested. Two independent studies have found that 7SK RNA binds the CDK9/cyclin T complex (known as elongation factor P-TEFb).
Source: RNAcentral